UACCAGCAGCCCGAGUGGUCGGGGCGAUUAUUGGGCCUAAAGCGUCCGUAGCCGGUUCUGCAAGUCUUCCGUUAAAUCCACCUGCUUAACAGAUGGGCUGCGGAGGAUACUACAAGGCUAGGAGGCGGAAGAGGCAAGCGGUACUCAGUGGGUAGGGGUAAAAUCCUCUGAUCCAUUGAAGACCACCAGUGGCGAAGGCGGCUUGCCAAUACGCGCUCGACGGUGAGGGAUGAAAGCUGGGGGAGCAAACCGG
RNAcentral lists this ribosomal RNA (253 nucleotides) under uncultured bacterium. RNAcentral describes it as "partial 16S ribosomal RNA". It matches the Rfam family "Archaeal small subunit ribosomal RNA", at positions 474 to 727 of the family's 1478-position model. The record is from RNAcentral.